Molecule: ribosomal RNA, 497 nt
Filed under: uncultured bacterium
Lineage: Bacteria
Description: partial 16S ribosomal RNA
Rfam family: Bacterial small subunit ribosomal RNA
Source: RNAcentral
GAUGAACGCUGGCGGCGUGCCUAAUACAUGCAAGUCGAGCGAACGGACGAGGAGCUUGCUCCUUUGAUGUUAGCGGCGGACGGGUGAGUAACACGUGGAUAACCUACCUAUAAGACUGGGAUAACUUCGGGAAACCGGAGCUAAUACCGGAUAAUAUUUUGAACCGCAUGGUUCAACAGCGAAAGACGGUCUUGCUGUCACUUAUAGAUGGAUCCGCGCCGCAUUAGCUAGUUGGUAAGGUAACGGCUUACCAAGGCAACGAUGCGUAGCCGACCUGAGAGGGUGAUCGGCCACACUGGAACUGAGACACGGUCCAGACUCCUACGGGAGGCAGCAGUAGGGAAUCUUCCGCAAUGGGCGAAAGCCUGACGGAGCAACGCCGCGUGAGUGAAGAAGGUCUUCGGAUCGUAAAACUCUGUUAUUAGGGAAGAACAAAUGUGUAAGUAACUAUGCACGUCUUGACGGUACCUAAUCAGAAAGCCACGGCUAACUACGUG